GGCGGUCGAGUGCCUCACAGUGUAUCAAGGGUUGGCCACGUUCCUCACUAAUUGUGGCUAUUUGCGCCAUCGUCUCAUGCAAUGUUAUUUGAGAGAUGGCAAAAUAUAUAGUAUGUUUGUCUCCAAUGUGUUGAGACUGAGAAGAUAUUGUACCCGUGAAUUGAUGAAAAUUGAUUGAUUAUAUGUAAUGUUGAUUUCAUGAAAAACACGCUGUGUUGGAGGAACUCAAACAAAACAAGCAUAAAAUCC
Molecule: long non-coding RNA, 249 nt
Filed under: Drosophila melanogaster (fruit fly)
Lineage: Eukaryota; Metazoa; Arthropoda; Insecta; Diptera; Drosophilidae
Description: long non-coding RNA:CR34335 (Dmel_CR34335)
Source: RNAcentral